RNAcentral lists this ribosomal RNA (237 nucleotides) under uncultured bacterium. RNAcentral's name for it is "partial 16S ribosomal RNA". It matches the Rfam family "Bacterial small subunit ribosomal RNA", at positions 96 to 334 of the family's 1533-position model. The record is from RNAcentral.
UGGCGGACGGGUGAGUAACGCGUGGGUAACCUGCCUCAUACAGGGGGAUAACAGUUAGAAAUGACUGCUAAUACCGCAUAAGACCACAGCACCGCAUGGUGCAGGGGUAAAAACUCCGGUGGUAUGAGAUGGACCCGCGUCUGAUUAGGUAGUUGGUGGGUAACGGCUUACCAAGCCGACGAUCAGUAGCCGACCUGAGAGGGUGACCGGCCACAUUGGGACUGAGACACGGCCCAA